CUGAUCCGUCCAAGUUUUGUGAAGGUCAGAGACUUAAAAGUAUUUUUCAAUGGUUAGGGACAAAAAUGUCCGUGGGACAAAAGGUCAGGCACCUAUUUGUCAUUCUCUCUACAUUUUAUUUAUGGCAAUUUAAAAAACCUUCGCUAAUAAUUAAUUAAAUUAAAUUUUAAAACAAAAUCUAAUUUUCCCUUUUUUUCAACACGAGAGACUGGAUUAGCUCUGAGAGAAAGAGAGCUUCUGGAUCUCAUUCAUCAUCUACUGUCAUCGGCUUCAAACAAAACCGCCAUUUUCGCCGUCGUUUCCGCUGCCAUUUCCACCGCCGGCACCGUCACCACUGCCGUGUCUGUUGCGGUAGAGAGCUUCUGGAUCAGGGAGGUUGAUGUUGGCCCCGAUGGUAAGAUCCGUUACGAGGAUUUCAUCGCCAGAAUGAUCGAUGAGAUGAACGGUUGACAAUGAAUGAGGUGCGACCUGCGCCGCCGCAGUGGCUACCGGCUAUUGAAUUCUCAUAGCUCAGAUUCCAGAUUCUGCUGCAGCCAUGUUUUUGGCCUCGUAAUCGCUUCCGAUCAAAUUUCAGGUUAACCUUUGAAGUUUGAAGCUUAUCUCAUCCUACUCCUCGCGUUGCUUAUAUUUUCUUCUUAUUAUGAUAGAUAGAAUAAUUAUUAUAAUUAUAGAAUUUCAUACGAAUUUAGCAUCAUUGUGUGUUUCUUCAUUGACUUGAGUCUACUGUGGAUGAUUUUGUGAAAUUCGUUAUUUUCAUCAUCCUAUUAUACCUUUUGGUAGGUGCUAUUCUUGUUUGAACAUGUUUUCUAACUAAUUGAAGUUGCAAUGCUGCUUUACAUAUAUGUCUCUUGGUUAUCAUUUUGAUCUUCAAGUUCUUUAUGUUUGGUUGCUUCCAGCAGCAGAAAUAAGCUAAUUGCUGUGCUUCUAUAACAAGUUUAAGUUAGGCAUUGGCAAGACAUAUUUCUAAUUGUAAAGACAAUUUUGUGAUUAAUGGAGUUGUAUUUGAAAAUAUACUUUCAAUUUCAUGCUUGCCUGCCAUAGAAGCUUGCUUAGCCAUCAGACUCCAUGGGAGACAUGGUGAUCAUUUUGAAAUUAAAUCUCACAUAUUUGCACCUUGUAUCAUUGAUGAUCACAGUUAGCAUAGCAUCACAGAAAAUAAACAAGUCUUCUACUCUAGAAGGUACUUAUCUUGUCUCAUUCAUUAAUUCACAGCAUUCAUUUUGCUUCUUGAUUACUAGUAUUAACACGAGUACUUCUUUGAUUGACAUAUGAAACUUGUCUUGAAAGUACUGAAGAUUCUGAUGUACAUAUGAUAUUUGUUGGAUCGCUAAUAAGCAAUAAUAUUUAAAUAAAGUCUUUGAGCCUUAACAAGUGUAAAUGACUAUGUGUUUUCUUUUUUUUCUUUCUUUUUUACUUGCAUUUUAAUUUCAUCUUGCAUCAACUUGUGUUGAACAUUGCAAGGUAUGUCUUCAUUUUAGCUUGCAAAUUUUGUUUUUGAAUUCCAUUAUCCUGUUAAUGAUUGGAUUGAAAUUUUGUUCCGCUGAUUGGUGGCUGUGGUUAGCAUAGCGUCACAUAUCUCAACCUUUUUUUUCUUGUUUGAAUCCAGUGAUCCAGUUUUCAUUCCAAUUCCUGAUAACUCUGCCAAUAAGAGGAGGUUUGCUCUGUCUUGCCCUUAGAAACUAUGCUCAUGUUCCUUUUAUGAAGUGUCUCUAAUGUUGGGACGUGAUUGAGAAUUAGUGAUUGCUAAUAAGGAGGUCUAGUGUAGCUUGAAUCAAAUAAUUUCCUGUUCUUACUAUUCCAUAAUAAGUGCCAAUAAGUACUAACAUAAAACUCUCUCUCCGAUCAUACAUUCCAAUAUUUUUCAUAAGGUAAUUUUAGAACCAUUAUGGUCUGUGCUCCACAUUCUUGUUGGGAUAAGACUAAUAAACUACUUAUUUGCAUUCCUAGCUAGUGUCGUAAUAAGGAAAUUGAUAAAAUAAGGAAAUUGAUAAAAUGAAAAACCUUUCUCUUAAUGUGGUUUGUUUGCAAUUGCUAAUUAAUUAAGAUAGUACCUACCUAACUAAACCCAACCGAAUUUCAAUUCAUGCAUUUUGAAACAUUUAUCUAAUCAUAUUUUUAUUGCAUCGUUUUAGUUAAAUAUAUCAAUUAGUCUUAUUUGAUUGUAAUCAAUUUAGGCUAGUCAAAUAAUCUUAUUUGAUUGUAAGAUUUGCAACGGAUAGAGCUGGAUUAGUUGGUGCAGAUGGCCCUACACAUUGUGAUUCUUUUGAUGUCACUUUUAUGGCAUGUCUUCCUAACAUGGUGGUGAUGACUCCUUCUACUAGGUUCAAUGCAUAUUUUGAGAUUUUUAUGUAAUUAGAAUUUAGAUGAUAUUGAAAUAUUGAAAUUGUUUUAUUUUAUUUUUUUAAAAAAAAUAGUUAUAGUUAUGUAGAAUAAUACCAUAUAUGUUUGGAACUAUUGACGUUGAGGAAUUUUUUAUAUUUAGAAUUA
Non-coding RNA from Arachis ipaensis, 2487 nucleotides. Lineage: Eukaryota; Viridiplantae; Streptophyta; Magnoliopsida; Fabales; Fabaceae. The record is from RefSeq and is a predicted model, not a curated record.